RNAcentral lists this transfer RNA (59 nucleotides) under Camelus ferus (Wild Bactrian camel). It matches the Rfam family "tRNA", at positions 7 to 64 of the family's 71-position model. Rfam says of the family: Transfer RNA (tRNA) molecules are approximately 80 nucleotides in length. Their secondary structure includes four short double-helical elements and three loops (D, anti-codon, and T loops). Further hydrogen bonds mediate the characteristic L-shaped molecular structure. tRNAs have two regions of fundamental functional importance: the anti-codon, which is responsible for specific mRNA codon recognition, and the 3' end, to which the tRNAs corresponding amino acid is attached (by aminoacyl-tRNA synthetases). tRNAs cope with the degeneracy of the genetic code in two manners: having more than one tRNA (with a specific anti-codon) for a particular amino acid; and 'wobble' base-pairing, i.e. permitting non-standard base-pairing at the 3rd anti-codon position. The record is from Rfam by way of RNAcentral. Lineage: Eukaryota; Metazoa; Chordata; Mammalia; Artiodactyla; Camelidae.
AUAGCUCAGGGGUAGAGCACGUGCUUAGCAUGCAUGAGGUCCUGGGUUCAAUCCCCAGU